AUUGAACGCUGGCGGCAUGCCUUACACAUGCAAGUCGAACGGCAGCACGGGAGCAAUCCUGGUGGCGAGUGGCGAACGGGUGAGUAAAGUAUCGGAACGUGCCCAGUCGUGGGGGAUAACGUAGCGAAAGUUACGCUAAUACCGCAUACGGUCCAUGGAUGAAAGCGGGGGAUCGCAAGACCUCGCGCGAUUGGAGCGGCCGAUAUCAGAUUAGGUAGUUGGUGGGGUAAAGGCUCACCAAGCCGACGAUCUGUAGCUGGUCUGAGAGGACGACCAGCCACACUGGGACUGAGACACGGCCCAGACUCCUACGGGAGGCAGCAGUGGGGAAUUUUGGACAAUGGGCGCAAGCCUGAUCCAGCCAUGCCGCGUGCAGGAUGAAGGCCUUCGGGUUGUAAACUGCUUUUGUACGGAACGAAAAGGUUUGACUUAAUACGUUGGACUCAUGACGGUACCGUAAGAAUAAGCACCGGCUAACUACGUGCCAGCCGCCGCGGUAA
Molecule: ribosomal RNA, 500 nt
Filed under: uncultured bacterium
Lineage: Bacteria
Description: partial 16S ribosomal RNA
Rfam family: Bacterial small subunit ribosomal RNA
Source: RNAcentral